GCGCCCGUAGCUCAACGGAUAGAGCAUCUGUCUUCGGAACAGGUGGUUGGGGGUUCGAAUCCCUCCGGGCGCGCCA
RNAcentral lists this transfer RNA (76 nucleotides) under Planctomycetales bacterium 4484_113. RNAcentral describes it as "tRNA-Arg". It matches the Rfam family "tRNA". Rfam says of the family: Transfer RNA (tRNA) molecules are approximately 80 nucleotides in length. Their secondary structure includes four short double-helical elements and three loops (D, anti-codon, and T loops). The record is from RNAcentral. RNAcentral also lists the same sequence under 1 other name. Lineage: Bacteria; Pseudomonadati; Planctomycetota; Planctomycetia; Planctomycetales.